UACUAUGAACAUGUCUGAUAUAGACUAAUGUCUGUUCUCUAAGGCUAAUCCAGGUAGGGCCUGGUUAGUACUUGGAUGGGAGAAUGCUUGGGAAUACUAGGUUUGAUAGGCU
Molecule: ribosomal RNA, 112 nt
Filed under: Dasypus novemcinctus (nine-banded armadillo)
Lineage: Eukaryota; Metazoa; Chordata; Mammalia; Cingulata; Dasypodidae
Source: RNAcentral